RNAcentral lists this long non-coding RNA (807 nucleotides) under Coturnix japonica (Japanese quail). RNAcentral describes it as "lncRNA (ENSCJPG00005002933.1)". The record is from RNAcentral. Lineage: Eukaryota; Metazoa; Chordata; Aves; Galliformes; Phasianidae.
GGCUAUGAGCGGCAAUGGGGGGCUAUGGGGGCUAGGGUCAGUUAUGGGUCUGAUGCGGGUCACUUAUGGGGUGUGUUAUGUGAUUUAUGGGGUCGGGUUUGUGCCCCCAGGUUCCACAAGCUGGUGAUCGACGACGUGAAGCCCGAAGACGAGGGAGAUUACACCUUUAUAAACCGGCGAUGGAUACCGCGCUUGUCAUUGUCUGCUAAGCUCAACUUCCUGGGUAUCUAUAGGUUAUAUAGGGUUAUAUAGGGUUAUAUAUGGGAUAUAUGGGGUUAUAGGGUCAUUAUAUGGGUUAUAUGGGGUUAUAUGGGGUUAUAUGGGGGAGAUUACACCUUUAUACCCGAUGGAUACGCGCUGUCAUUGAGCGCCAAGCUCAACUUCCUGGGUAUCAUAUAGGUUAUAUAGGGUUAUAUAGGGUUAUAUGGGAUAUAUGGGGUUAUAUGGGGUUAUAUAGGGGGUAUAUGGGGUUAUAUGGGGUUAUAUGGGGUUAUAUAGGGGCUAUAGGGGUUCCAUAGGGGCUAUAGGGCCAUUAUAUGGGGUUAUAUGGGGUUAUAUGGGGUUAUAUAGGGGCUAUAGGGUCAUUAUAUGGGGUUAUAUGGGGUUAUAUGGGGUUAUAUGGGGUUAUAUGCGGUUAUAUGGGUUUAUAUGGGUUAUAUGGGUUUAUAUGGGGGGUAUAUGGGGUUAUAUGGGAUAUAGGGGUUAUAUGGGGUACUAUAGGUUAUAUGGCGGUUAUAUGGGGGUAUAUGUGGGUGUAUAUGGGGUCUGUAUGCGGCGUGAUAUAUGGGGUAUAUAUGGGUAGAUGGG